Long non-coding RNA from Mytilus californianus (California mussel), 751 nucleotides. RefSeq lists it as uncharacterized. The transcript has 3 exons. Lineage: Eukaryota; Metazoa; Mollusca; Bivalvia; Mytilida; Mytilidae. The record is from RefSeq and is a predicted model, not a curated record.
UCAUGUGAGGGUUCUCAGUGUUGACAGGCUAGUAAUACAGUAGUUGAACUACUUAUAGGACCACUCUGCCACCAUAAGUCGAUCAGUACGAAAUAUUUUAUUGAAAUGUGUUAGAUUUUUGUUUUCAAUCUAUUUUUUAAUUUUAAUUGUACUAUUUUAUUUAUUUUGUUUAAUAUAACAAGGAUGUGGAGUCCGAACAGGGUGAAAUUUGGGUCAAAGGGAGGCAAUUUAUUAUACCCUUGUUUAACUCCACAUACUUGAAAUUCCCUCAAUGUUAGGAUUUUCAUCUACUUGGAUAUUCAUGUUUGUACAUUUUUUUUUAAUAUCAGAUGUAUACUAGCUAAUAUUGACUAUUAUUUAGAGCUCUGUAAUAAAAAAAAAUAAAUGUAAGCAGAGCUCUAGAUAAGUAUGCAGGGUGGGAGAAAUCUUGGGUCAUUAACAAUUGAUUUGCUGAAAUUUUCAAGAAAGGGGAUUUAUUGGAAAUGCAUCUGAUAUAUUUAAUGUAUAAAACUAUAUUUAAAAAAAAAAGAUGUUAAGAUGAUGAGGAGAGCCACCUUGUCAGCCGGGAGAGCAGCUCUAAGGGAGAUGGUCAAUUUAAUCUUCACCAAGUCAGAGGCUUUACCAUGAAAAAUAUGUGGUUGUUAUAAUGAUGAUGUUUUCAUGGUGUUGGGAGUAAGACUUGGAUGUCUGAUAUUGUUAACAUGUUGGUUAGCAUCAGGUUUCCAUUGGGUUACUUGCUGGGAUAAAGCUG